AUGUCCGCCAUCGCCCACCGCCGCCGCCGCCCCGCGCCGCCCCCGCCCGCCUGGACCCCCGAGCCCUGGAGCGACGGCGAGACGGCCGCGCUGCUCGAGGCCUGGGGCCCGCGCCACCUCCGCGCCGGCGGCGGCCCCCUCCGCACCUCCGACUGGCGCGCCUGCGCCGCGGCCGUCACCGCCCGCCGCGCCGCUGACGGCCGCGCGCCGCGCACCGUCGACCAGUGCAAGAACCGCAUGGACUACCUCAAGAAGCGCCUCAGGGCCGACCGCUCCAGGCCCUCGUCGCCGCCGCCGCUCUCCGGCUCCCUCCGCCGCCUCGCCAAGCUCCUCCGCCAGGCCCCCUCGGUCCCGCACCGCCUCGCGCCCAAGGUCGAGCGGGAGGACCGCCAGGAGGACGAGGAGGAGACCGGCGGGUCUCCCCUCUACCGCGACUGGCCGCCGGUGCCCAAGCGGCGGAGGACGGCCGUCUCGUUGUCGCCGCUGAGCUCCUCCGCGGAGCAUCACCACGGGAAUGGAGGGGCGGCCUGCACGGAGGUUGCAGUUGCUCUGGAUAGGCUGGCGGGGACGUACGAGCGGGUUGAGGCGGCCAAUCAGAUGGAGGCGACACGGCUGGAGGACCGCCGCCUGGAGGCCAUGCGGGACCUAGAGAUCGAGCGCAUGCGGGUUCUCGCCGACGUCGCCAUCUCCACCUCGGACGAUACACAAACCCCAGCCACCUCCGCCGCCAUCUCCACCUCCGCCGAUACACACACCUCAGUCGCCGCCGCAGCCGGCGGCGGCCUAGUCGAGGAACUAGUACAAUAG
This 807-nucleotide ribosomal RNA is filed under the name Triticum aestivum (bread wheat). RNAcentral's name for it is "partial small subunit ribosomal RNA". Lineage: Eukaryota; Viridiplantae; Streptophyta; Magnoliopsida; Poales; Poaceae. The record is from RNAcentral.